This is a long non-coding RNA of Astatotilapia calliptera (eastern happy), 1133 nucleotides long. The record is from Ensembl. Lineage: Eukaryota; Metazoa; Chordata; Actinopteri; Cichliformes; Cichlidae.
GCUCUUGCUGUGUGAGCAGAGUAGGAGGACUGCAGUCGGGUACAAAGCGGGAGUGUUUCACUCAGUGUUUAUGUGAUUCACACAGCCGAGGCUGUGGAAGGCUUGACCCUCCAAAGACCUCCCCAGCACAGCGGAAAUGACUUCUGUCUAAGGAACUGACCACAGCGGGAGGCCUCCAGCAGCAGGGGCUACCAGUGCUUCUCACAGCCUGCAGAGUGACUCCUUGACAGGGAUCGUGAGAACCUGAGUGGCAGGGGUCCUUGUGGUCAAGAGGAACUUGACUAAAUGUAAAGAAAUGAGAAAAGGCAGUGUACACAGAGCAUCUGGCAAUUCUGCUCAUGGAAACAAGGACGCUCUUUGAUUUUCUCCUAUUAUACUCCUUGCCACUGAAACAUCCUCUUUUUUUAAAAGAAAUAAUAAUUAUGAAAAAUUAUUACUCAUUGUUUUUAAACAUGCAGAAGUGGUCGACAUGACCUGCCAAAGCUCAAAAGAUGAAAGAAAAUUGAUUCAAGUGACUCUGAACCCGGCAUGGUUGUUGGUGCCAGGUGGGGUAUUUCAGGGACUGCUGAUUUACUGGGAUUUUCCCCAUUCAUUACAACUGAGGUAUGGAGAAGAGCAUCUCUGAAUUGCCAUGGAACAUUGAAGCAGAUGGGCUAAGGAAGCAGAGGAGCACACGUUGUGCCAUGUCGAAACUGAGGCCAAAUUUGGACCAUAAAAGAUUGGAAAACCAAUCUUGUCUGAAAGUGUCAAUUCAAGCUAAAAUUUUCAAUGGUAGGCUCAUAAUUUGGCAUAAACAACAUGAAAUCAGGGAUCCAUUCUUCAUUGUAUCAGUGUUUCAGGCUGCUGGUGGGGUAAUGAUAUCAGGGAUGAUUUUUUCGGCACGCUUUGGGUACUAAUUGUACAUCAUUUAAGCACCACGGGCUACCUAAGCUCUGUUGCUGACUGUAUCCAUCCCUUUAUGACCACAGUGUAACGACAAACAACAAAAUCUCUGAGGAAUGUUGUUGAAUCUGUGUCAUGAAACAUUAAGGUAAUUCUGAAGAUGAAAAAGGGACCAACCCCGUACUACCAAGGUGUACCUAAUGAAUUGGUUAGUGAGUGUAUAUUUUAAUUCAAAUGGUUUGCUCAAGCCC